This 247-nucleotide ribosomal RNA is filed under the name uncultured bacterium. RNAcentral's name for it is "partial 16S ribosomal RNA". It matches the Rfam family "Bacterial small subunit ribosomal RNA", at positions 107 to 354 of the family's 1533-position model. The record is from RNAcentral.
UGAGUAACGCGUGAGGAACCUGCCUUCCAGAGGGGGACAACAGUUGGAAACGACUGCUAAUACCGCAUGAUGCAUUUGAAUCGCAUGGUUUGAAUGUCAAAGAUUUAUCGCUGGAAGAUGGCCUCGCGUCUGAUUAGCUAGUUGGUGAGGUAACGGCCCACCAAGGCGACGAUGCGUAGGGGUUCUGAGAGGAAGGUCCCCCACACUGGUACUGAGACACGGACCAGACUCCUACGGAAGGCAGCAG